ACGGGAGGCAGCAGUGGGGGAUAUUGCACAAUGGGGGAAACCCUGAUGCAGCGACGCCGCGUGAGUGAAGAAGUAUUUCGGUAUGUAAAGCUCUAUCAGCAGGGAAGAAAGGCCCUUAGGGGAGAUGACGGUACCUGACUAAGAAGCCCCGGCUAAAUACGUGCCAGCAGCCGCGGUAAUACGUAUGGUGCAAGCGUUAUCCGGAUUUACUGGGUGUAAAGGGAGCGUAGGCGGCAUGGCAAGUCAGAUGUGAAAGCCCGGGGCCCAACCCCGGAACUGCAUUUGAAACUGUCGAGCUAGAGUGCCGGAGAGGUAAGCGGAAUUCCUAGUGUAGCGGUGAAAUGCGUAGAUAUUAGGAGGAACACCAGUGGCGAAGGCGGCUUACUGGACGGUAACUGACGCUGAGGCUCGAAAGCGUGGGGAGCAAACAGGAUUAGAUACCCUGGUA
RNAcentral lists this ribosomal RNA (448 nucleotides) under uncultured bacterium. Its description in RNAcentral is "partial 16S ribosomal RNA". It matches the Rfam family "Bacterial small subunit ribosomal RNA", at positions 341 to 792 of the family's 1533-position model. The record is from RNAcentral.